Long non-coding RNA from Daphnia magna, 2277 nucleotides. RefSeq lists it as uncharacterized. NCBI's taxonomy places the organism in Eukaryota, Metazoa, Arthropoda, Branchiopoda, Diplostraca, Daphniidae. The transcript is spliced from 10 exons. The record is from RefSeq and is a predicted model, not a curated record.
GAAGUUUCAUUACAGUAAUCGUUAGCAUACGAAGCAUACUGAAACACGUUGAAAUUUAGAUGUUGAUCAUGGUAUCAUCGUAUGGAGUGUUUAGUUUUCCUUAAUCAAAUGUAGUGAUGAGCAAUUCUUUCUGAUACGCAAAUUUGCGCCGUGAAGUCAAUCAAAUAUUAGACAUGCAUGACUCUGACAUGGAUUGAUUGAUGGUUGAAUAUUGGAAAGCUGUAGCCCAUGUAUGUACUUUUAAGCUUUUACUAUGGGAAGAUGUAAAAGUAACUCGACUUGGUUUGGAAAUGGCUGUGAUGUGGUGCAAAAUAUUGCUCCAGGUGAUGAAUAAACAACUUAUGCAUGUGUAUUGGUUUAAAAGAGGCACAGGCUGCUGGAUGUCCUGUUCAAGGUGUGUCAAAAUGCCUGAAUUAGUCAAAAGAUAAUGCAAUAAUUGGUGCUUUCAAGAACAUGUACCUGCUGUUGAUUCAUCAUUUGUGGUGUCCUUUGGUUGGCUGGAGUCUCCAUUUGAUGAAGGUGUUGGAUGUAACUAUGCCUGAAGAGGGGCAUUUGCUUCAAGGGGUUGGAUUGUAAGGUGGAUUUUAGCUGGUGACAUACGACAACUUUAGUGCUGACAUUCAUACUUUUCGUAUAAGGAUUUAUUCAGCCGCUAAUGGAAUUAAUUAACAUUGGGGGUCAUCAUGAAUUGGGUACUGAUGUUGGGGCUAUGUGAACUCUUCUGUAGAGCAGUUCAAGAUCAUAACCAUGGACCAUUUGUUAGUUUAUCAAAACUUGGGGUACUUACCUGCCUAUAUAGUAGAACAUCGUAGUACUGUGGAAUAUCAUUGGAACUGUACAAUAUCUGAGUAUAUAUUUUGAAGUCAGAUGGGCCUACGUAGUAUGGACCUUCAGCAAUAGUGCUAAAAUUAGACUGUUGUGUUUGGGUGGUGGAAAUGAGGCCUAUCACAAAUCAAGGAUGAAAUUACCUUGGAUUAUGGAAUGGAAAAUGCAAAACCGAGUCUACUAGGUAAAGUAGAGAAUGUCGAUCAAAUUGAGAAGUUGUAGUGAGAUACCAAUUCAUGUUAAUUGCUCUAUCACAGAUUGAAGUUUACUUUGAGAUGGUUUUGAUUAGCAUGUUUAGUGGUUAUUUUCCGUAGCGAUUUGCAUUUUGUUAAUGGAGGAGCACACAGAUUUUUAAGUUGGGUUUUUAUUUUUUGCUUGCCAUCUGCUAUGAAGGUAUUUGUCACAUUGCAAAUUCAUAUUGAUGUAUAUGAAAGGUGUUAUUAGUUGACAUAGAUUACUGUUAAUUUGAGUAACUAAAUAUUCACUUGUAGAAGUUUGGAGGAACAGUUAUCUUGGCGUGUGUUGGGGUGGGUUUAACCCUUCCAUUUUUUAUUUUUGCUAUGUGUACAUUGUAUCAUAUUAAAGAUUUAUCUAGAAAGCAACAUUUGUGCAUGUAAGUAAGAAGGUUAAGUUAAAAUGUGGUAGUCCCAGUUCUUUUUUCUUUUUAAAUGCUCGUUGAAAUUUCUCGUUUCUAUUCAUGAUGUAGACAUUCAGAACAGCCAUGAAGAUGUGGUAAAUCUGUUGAACUUCUGGUGAUGUUGGAGACUAAUACUCAUUGGAAUAAUAUGGAUUAGAAAGUAAAGCACCAUCCUUUGUAUGUUGGGAAUAUUUUAUCAGGAAGAUGACGUUUAUUAAAGUAAUUAUGUUUAUUCUAACGAAAAUAUUUAAUGGUUGAAACUAGGAAACGUGCUGAUUGAAGUUUGCGUGGAUAUUAGUGGAUAUACACCAUUAUUGCUUUUGUUGCCCGCAUUGGUAAUCAGUUCUUGUCGCUGUAGAACAGAUAGAUGGUAUUUCUUCCCGUUUUGAUCAUUAUUGUUAAACAAAUUUCAUGCUGUUAGGAGCUUUUCCGUAACCAUGUCCAUUUGGUCAGCAGCCCAAGGCGAAGCUUGGUUUCUCAACUCAUUUAUCCCCUCCCCCUUCUCCAAUUCAGGCCAUUCGAAGGUUUGAUCCCGUUCGGACCAACAUAAAUUUUCAUCGCGAUUGGAGUAUUAAACUUACUGUUUUUAGUGGGAUAUGUAUAUUUCUAAACCAACUUCUUUCUACUUCUAUAUUCCUUUUUCCAUUCUUUACUUUUUACUUUCUCGGUACAUGGUUCUUUACCCUUGCUCCUUUUGUAGGAACAUAGGUAGCUAUUCUUGCAGGUAGUGACUGAUCGAGUCGAGAGGGUUUUUCAUGUUAUAAAUGACUCUGUGUUAAAAUAUUUGACAACAAGUUAAAUGUCUGGGCUUUAAA